AAACCAACUGGGAUUGCCCUAGUAACGGCGAGUGAAGCGGCAAUAGCUCAAAUUUGAAAUCUGGCUUCCUUUGGGGGUCCGAGUUGUAAUUUGCAGAGGGUGCUUUGGCGUUGGUAGCGGUCUAAGUUCCUUGGAACAGGACAUCGCAGAGGGUGAGAAUCCCGUUUGUGGUCGCAUGCCUUCGCCGUGUAAAGCCCCUUCGACGAGUCGAGUUGUUUGGGAAUGCAGCUCUAAAUGGGAGGUAAAUUUCUUCUAAAGCUAAAUACUGGCCAGAGACCGAUAGCGCACAAGUAGAGUGAUCGAAAGAUGAAAAGCACUUUGGAAAGAGAGUCAAACAGCACGUGAAAUUGUUGAAAGGGAAGCGCUUGCAGCCAGACUUGCCCGUAGUUGCUCACCCAGGCUUUUGCCCGGGGCAUUCUUCUGCGGGCAGGCCAGCAUCAGUUUGGGCGGUCGGAUAAAGGCCUCUGUCACGUAUCUUCCUUCGGGAUGACCUUAUAGGGGAGGCGACAUGCGACCAGCCCGGACUGAGGUCCGCGCUUCUGCUAGGAUGCUGGCGUAAUGGCUGUAAGCGGC
This 573-nucleotide ribosomal RNA is filed under the name Corynespora sp. OTU51 TS-2013. RNAcentral describes it as "eukaryotic LSU rRNA". It matches the Rfam family "Eukaryotic large subunit ribosomal RNA", at positions 62 to 648 of the family's 3401-position model. The record is from RNAcentral. Lineage: Eukaryota; Fungi; Ascomycota; Dothideomycetes; Pleosporales; Corynesporascaceae.